RNAcentral lists this ribosomal RNA (401 nucleotides) under bacterium. RNAcentral describes it as "partial 16S ribosomal RNA". It matches the Rfam family "Bacterial small subunit ribosomal RNA", at positions 355 to 776 of the family's 1533-position model. The record is from RNAcentral.
UGGGGAAUUUUGCACAAUGGGGAAACCCUGAUGCAGCGACGCCGCGGGAUUUAGAAGGCCUUCGGGGUGUAAAAAUCUUUUUUACGGGAUGAAAAUGACAGUACCGUAAGAAUAAGGUCCGGCUAAAUACGUGCCAGCAGCCGCGGUAAUACGUAUGGACCGAGCGUUGUCCGGAAUCAUUGGGCGUAAAGGGUACGUAGGCGGCCUAGUAAGUUAGAAGUGAAAUAAUAUAGCUCAACUAUAUAAAGCUUUUAAAACUGCUAGGCUUGAGAGAUGGAAGGGAAAGUGGAAUUCCUAGUGUAGCGGUGAAAUGCGCAGAUAUUAGGAAGAAUACCGGUGGCGAAGGCGACUUUCUGGUCAUCAUCUGACGCUGAGGUACGAAAGCGUGGGUAGCAAACAGG